CACAGCACCAGCUCCAGGCACGACGCGAACACCAGCAGCGAGAAGAGCGUCACGUUCCAGUACACCACGCGGGGCGGUUCCUCGCACGCGUCCCACAGCGUGCGGUUGCGCAACAGCCCGCGCCGCAGCAGCCCUUGCCCCCUGCGCGGACGGCGGCGAUGCCGGGACACAGCACCUGUGGAGGAAGGACAGUGUGGCAGCCAGCCCCCGCCCGUUCUCAGCGCCUUCCUGCCUCGGCGCUCACCUCCUCCUGGGGGGGCUUAGGAUGCCCUCAGCCCUUCGGACUGUAGGAAGACCUUCUCUCUACUGCCCCUGUAGUGCAUUGGGGCUCUACCUCGAUUUAUCAUUAUUUACGUGUCUGCUUAUCUGUGUUCACAUGGCCUCCACGAGGUAAGGCCCCAUAUCAGGACGUCCUCUGCAAAUCUUGACACACAGCAGGGGCCCUCCUGAACCGGAGUCAGGGGGCUUGGGGUUCAUGCCAA
This is a long non-coding RNA of Leopardus geoffroyi (Geoffroy's cat), 482 nucleotides long. RefSeq lists it as uncharacterized. The transcript has 2 exons. NCBI's taxonomy places the organism in Eukaryota, Metazoa, Chordata, Mammalia, Carnivora, Felidae. The record is from RefSeq and is a predicted model, not a curated record.